This 396-nucleotide ribosomal RNA is filed under the name uncultured bacterium. Its description in RNAcentral is "bacterial SSU rRNA". It matches the Rfam family "Bacterial small subunit ribosomal RNA", at positions 8 to 431 of the family's 1533-position model. The record is from RNAcentral.
AGAGUUUGAUCAUGGCUCAGAACGUACGCUGGCGGCACGCCUAACACAUGCAAGUCGAACGAAGUAGCAAUACUUAGUGGCAGACGGGUGAGUAACAUGUAGGUAUCUGCCCUUUGGCCUGGAAUAACACGAGGAAACUUGUGCUAAUACCGGAUAAGUCUUUACGGAGAAAGCUUUAUGCACCAUUGGAUGAGCCUGCACUUGAUUAGUUUGUUGGUGGGGUAAUGGCCUACCAAGACUGUGAUCAAUAGCUGAUUUGAGAGGAUGAUCAGCCACAUUGGGACUGAGACACGGCCCAAACUCCUACGGGAGGCAGCAGUGGGGAAUCUUGCACAAUGGAGGAAACUCUGAUGCAGCGAUGCCGCGUGAGUGAAGAAGGCCCUUGGGUUGUAAAGC